Molecule: ribosomal RNA, 449 nt
Filed under: uncultured bacterium
Lineage: Bacteria
Description: partial 16S ribosomal RNA
Rfam family: Bacterial small subunit ribosomal RNA
Source: RNAcentral
AUUGAACGCUGGCGGCAGGCUUAACACAUGCAAGUCGAACGAGACCUUCGGGUCUAGUGGCGCACGGGUGCGUAACGCGUGGGAAUCUACCCUUGGGUUCGGAAUAACAGUUAGAAAUGACUGCUAAUACCGGAUGAUGACGUAAGUCCAAAGAUUUAUCGCCCAAGGAUGAGCCCGCGUAAGAUUAGCUUGUUGGUGGGGUAAUGGCCUACCAAGGCGACGAUCUUUAGCUGGUCUGAGAGGAUGAUCAGCCACACUGGGACUGAGACACGGCCCAGACUCCUACGGGAGGCAGCAGUGGGGAAUAUUGGACAAUGGGCGAAAGCCUGAUCCAGCAAUGCCGCGUGAGUGAUGAAGGCCUUAGGGUUGUAAAGCUCUUUUACCAGGGAUGAUAAUGACAGUACCUGGAGAAUAAGCUCCGGCUAACUCCGUGCCAGCCGCCGCGGUAA